Molecule: ribosomal RNA, 300 nt
Filed under: uncultured Thalassomonas sp.
Lineage: Bacteria; Pseudomonadati; Pseudomonadota; Gammaproteobacteria; Alteromonadales; Colwelliaceae
Description: bacterial SSU rRNA
Rfam family: Bacterial small subunit ribosomal RNA
Source: RNAcentral
UGCUUGGGAAUAUGCCUUGAGGUGGGGGACAACAGUUGGAAACGACUGCUAAUACCGCAUAAUGUCUACGGACCAAAGAGGGGGACCUUCGGGCCUCUUGCCUUUAGAUUAGCCCAAGUGAGAUUAGCUAGUUGGUGAGGUAAUGGCUCACCAAGGCGACGAUCUCUAGCUGGUUUGAGAGGAUGAUCAGCCACACUGGGACUGAGACACGGCCCAGACUCCUACGGGAGGCAGCAGUAAGGAAUAUUGGACAAUGGGCGGAAGCCUGAUCCAGCCAUCCCGCGUGCAGGAUGACGGCCC